UUAACCGAUUUAAUCUCUCUCUCUCUCUCUCGCUCUCUCUCGCUCUCGCUCUCUCGCUCUCUCUCUCUCUCUCUCUCUCUCUCGCUCUCUCUCUCUCUCGCUCUCGCUCUCGCUCUCUCGCUCUCUCUCGCUCUCCCUCUUGCUUCCUCAAGUACUUCCCCUUCCAACAGUUCUGUGUGUGUGUGUGUGUGUGUGUGUGUGUGUGUGUGUGUGUGUGUGUGUGAGACCAGACCCCCCAGACCCUCUCCUCAGACCAGACCCCCCAGACCCUCUCUUCAGACCAGACCCCCCAGACCCUCUCCUCAGACCAGACCCUCUCCUCAGACCAGACCCCCCAGACCCUCUCCUCAGACCAGACCCCCCAGACCCUCUCCUCAGACCAGACCCCCCAGACCAGACCCCCCAGACCCUCUCCUCAGACCAGACCCCCCAGACCCUCUCUUCAGACCAGACCCCCCAGACCCUCUCCUCAGACCAGACCCUCUCCUCAGACCAGACCCCCCAGACCCUCUCCUCAGACCAGACCCCCCAGACCCUCUCCUCAGACCAGACCCCCCAGACCAGACCCCCCAGACCCUCUCCUCAGACCAGACCCCCCAGACCAGACCCUCUCCUCAGACCAGACCCCCCAGACCAGACCCCCCAGACCCUCUCCUCAGACCAGACCCCCCAGACCCUCUCCUCAGACCAGACCCCCCAGACCCUCUCCCCAGACCAGACCCCCCAGACCAGACCCUCUCCUCAGACCAGACCCCCCAGACCAGACCCUCUCCUCAGACCAGACCCUCACAGCUUGUUCCUCACAGAGAGAAAACUAACUUGAGAUCUCUUCUGCUUCUUCCUGCUCACUCACUGUCUCACUCUCUCUCUGUCUCACUCUCUCUCUGUCUCACUCUCUCGCUGUCUCACUCUCUCUCUGUCUCACUCUCUCGCUGUCUCACUCUCUCUCUGUAUCACUCUCUCUCUGUCUCUCUGUCUCUCGCUCUCUAUCUCUCCUCUCUCGGUUCCUGA
This 1011-nucleotide long non-coding RNA is filed under the name Gadus morhua (Atlantic cod). RNAcentral's name for it is "lncRNA (ENSGMOG00000034657.1)". The record is from RNAcentral. Lineage: Eukaryota; Metazoa; Chordata; Actinopteri; Gadiformes; Gadidae.